Molecule: ribosomal RNA, 478 nt
Filed under: uncultured bacterium
Lineage: Bacteria
Description: partial 16S ribosomal RNA
Rfam family: Bacterial small subunit ribosomal RNA
Source: RNAcentral
GACGAACGCUGGCGGCGUGCUUAACACAUGCAAGUCGAACGGUAAGGCCCUUCGGGGUACACGAGUGGCGAACGGGUGAGUAACACGUGGGUGAUCUGCCCUGCACUUCGGGAUAAGCCUGGGAAACUGGGUCUAAUACCGGAUAGGACCACUGCCUGCAUGGGUGGUGGUGGAAAGCUUUUGCGGUGUGGGAUGGGCCCGCGGCCUAUCAGCUUGUUGGUGGGGUGAUGGACUACCAAGGCGACGACGGGUAGCCGGCCUGAGAGGGUGACCGGCCACACUGGGACUGAGAGACGGCCCAGACGCCUACGGGAGGCAGCAGUGGGGAAUAUUGCACAAUGGGCGCAAGCCGGAGGCAGGGACGCCGCGUGAGGGAUGACGGCCUUCGGGUUGUAAACCUCUUUCAGCACCGACGAAGCGCAAGUGACGGUAGGGGCAGAAGAAGGACCGGCCAACUACGUGCCAGCCGCCGCGGUAA